UGGGGAAUUUUGGACAAUGGGGGAAACCCUGAUCCAGCCAUCCCGCGUGUGCGAUGAAGGCCUUCGGGUUGUAAAGCACUUUUGGCAGGAAAGAAACGUCAUGGGUUAAUACCCCGUGAAACUGACGGUACCUGCAGAAUAAGCACCGGCUAACUACGUGCCAGCAGCCGCGGUAAUACGUAGGGUGCAAGCGUUAAUCGGAAUUACUGGGCGUAAAACGUGCGCAGGCGGUUCGGAAAGAAAGAUGUGAAAUCCCAGAGCUCAACUUUGGAACUGCAUUUUUAACUACCGGGCUAGAGUGUGUCAGAGGGAGGUGGAAUUCCGCGUGUAGCAGUGAAAUGCGUAGAUAUGCGGAGGAACACCGAUGGCGAAGGCAGCCUCCUGGGAUAACACUGACGCUCAUGCACGAAAGCGUGGGGAGCAAACAGG
RNAcentral lists this ribosomal RNA (429 nucleotides) under Acidobacteriota bacterium. RNAcentral's name for it is "Acidobacteria bacterium partial 16S ribosomal RNA". It matches the Rfam family "Bacterial small subunit ribosomal RNA", at positions 355 to 776 of the family's 1533-position model. The record is from RNAcentral. Lineage: Bacteria; Pseudomonadati; Acidobacteriota.